GGCUGGCUCUUGGUUACCUAGGAGAUGCUUCGCAAUGCAAAUCCAGGGCCGCGGUGCAGACCGCCAGGCUCCUGUGCUGUGUGGGAGGAGUCAAUCUGGUUGUGUGUUGACAUCAGCGAAGUCAGCUCUGAGGAUUUGGCUGUGGUGGACCAGGCCGAGGACUUAGCUUUCAUGGUAGUGGAGAAGAGCUCAGAGCCAGUUGAUAAUACUGUAAACAAGCAAGUAAGCAAAUAGAACUUCAAAUAGUAAUAUUUAGUUAGAUUUAACAGCAACAACACUAACCCAACGCCAGCGAGAGGGGAGACCCUUGGAUGUUUAUAAACAGAAUGGAAAAAGAAAGAAGGGGCGAGGCAGCCUGCUGCUCUCAGGGCUCCUCUCUCUCUCUCUCUCUCUCUCUCUCUCUCUCUCUCUCUCUCCCUCUCUCUCUCUCUUUCUCUCUCUCCUUUUUUUUUCUUUGCAAAGUAUGCUUCUCAUUAUCAGGGAGAAAGGCAGGCCACACACGGACAGAAGAGAAACUAUGUGGGCAGAAAUGCCACUAGGGGUGCCUGUGAACCCAUCUUCUGAAUCUCAGACAUUCUGUUACUUUUAUAUUUAAAUGUAUCAUUAUUAUUGUUAUUAUUAUCAUUAUUUUUUUUCAAUCCACCCAGUCACAGUGUGUGGGAGCUAGCUUGCUUUGCCCCUGCGACGCCCAGCAGAGUGUGGCUUUCUCAUGACUCCAGGACAAGAUAUGGGUGGUUUCAGGUUUGAUUCUUUUUCUGAGAUGUUUUUUAUACCUAUUCUAUGGGGUGUGUAUCCAACUAGAAUUUGGGCACUGCUAUCAAUGAGGCUUUCUUUGCUGGAGCAUGCACUGAAGCAAAGUACAGAGGCACCUGGCCACCAUCCCAUGGCCCUGAGCUCGCCAUCCCCACUAUCAGUGGGGAAACUGAGGCUCAGAGAAAGCAAGCUGUUUGCUCAGGCUGUUGGCUGUUAUCAGGGUGAAGCCGUUUCCAAACUUUAGUUUCCCAAGUUUAACUUGAAUUCUUUUCCUCGCACCGCAGCUGCAGCCAAAAAUAAUCCCUUUUCUUGGAAAAUGCCUGCUUCUAGACUCUCCCAGGCAUUAUGAGGACCAAGAUAGCUGUAUUCGCACCCCGUCUCUAACAUGAGACCAGGCUCUUUCAGCAGCUUGUAAAGGAGACCCAUAUAAAAAUAUCUGAGCUUCUCGUCUCCCUCACAUUCUCUUAGUCAACCAUGCGUUUUCAUUGUUAAGAAAACUCGAAUGUCGUAAAAACAAUCUGGCAUGAAAAUAAUCCUUGAGAGCUGGUUUGAGGUGGAAAGGCCAAGUCAUCACUCCCAAAGCACUGCCUCUGGGGGCGUUCACCUAGCAAUACUCUCUUUCCUGACCUCCUUUGACUAGAAUGUUCUUCCAUCCAUUCCCCCAUGGCCACAGUGGCCCUUUAAGGACAGAGUUCACUGUUUCUGUCACAAGCAUCUCUCUCUCUCUCUCUCUCUCUCUCUCUCUCUCUCUCUCUCUCUCUCUCACACACACACACACACACACACACACACACAUACACACCGCCCUCUCUCUCCUGUCUCAGCUGUAAAAAUGCGCUUCAGGCAAAAACUUGGCAUAAGAGGUCUCAUUUUGCUAAGGAUCUCUCUCUCUCUCUCUCUCUCUCUCUCUCUCUCUCUCUCCCUCUCCCUUUCCCCCUCCCCCUCUCCCUCUCCCUCUCUCUCAUAAAAAGGUCAAGAAUUUCCUAUUGGAACCCAUAGGUUUUGCCUCAUUCUCCCAUCACUGUUCUAUCCAGCCUCUUCUUAAGCAGUUAUUUGGGGGCAAAGCUACAGUGGCUCUCAGGGAAGACACAUCUUCAUCUUCCCUGCAACAAACACUCCCCGAGAGCCUAUUGGGUAUCAGACCCUGUCCUGGCGAGAACAAUGCUGGACAAGCCCAGCUUGGUUCUGGGUUUCAUGGUGUACGGGGACCAGUGCCCAGGCACUGUGGGCAUUAGGAACUGCAGUGGAACUUUCUGCAGGCAUUGGGAGCACACUGAAGGCUGUAGGCACCGAGGCUCAAUAGAAUGGCCUAGGAAGGCCUUCCAGAAACUGGAUGAGGCUGAAGAGAAGCCACGUGAUUAGUCUAGGGCGGAGAGACCUAAGGAAGAAGGAGUAGCAUCUAUGAAGGCUACGAGGAAUGAGUCGUGUUGGAAGUGUAUAAACAAACUCUCCUGUCCAGACUGCCUCAUUUCUAGACCAAGUGGUGUGCGGACAGGGUUGAUAAGAGAUUACAUCUGAAUCCUGGGGUUGGCGCAUGCGCGUAAAGCAUUCAAAGGUCCAGGUAUAGGGGCUUCUAGUCUCCUCCGGUACGUCUCCGGCUAGCAGUCAUGUUCUGGCGUGCACCUUUUCGUUGUUCUUUUGAGUAGCAUGGGGAGGUGCAGAAAAUGUCUAGAAGAGUGUGAAAUGAUGCAGCCAUCAGCUGGGAAGGUCUUUCUGGACUUGGAAGGAAAAGGAUGCUAGGGAAGCAAGCCAGGGAGCAAGGAGACCAGCUAAGGGGCUGUUGUGGGUAUUUAUGUGUUAGCACUGGGUGAGGGAGCAGGCUGGAACAAGAGGUAGUAAUGAAAACAGAAGAUGGGGUGAACUAAAAAGAAGAGAAGAGGGAAGGCUAAGAGGGAUGUCCAAAGUGUCCUUAUGUAGUCGUGGUUAAACGUGGUGCCGUGAUGGGAUGGAAAGAGAAGGGAGUAAGGCACGCUAAGAAUGAGUCUGGCUAGGUCUCCGGGUUCCCCGAUGUUGAAUGGCAUGAAGAGCAGUUUGCCUGUGUGUAUCUGUAAUUCUAGGUAUUCAGGAGGCCGGUUGCAAGUUUGAGGACACCGUGGGCUUAGUGAACUCUAUCUCAAAGUAACAUUUAAGGAGGCCUGGGAUGUAGCUCACUGGCCAAGUGCUGGCUCACAUGUGUGGGGUCCAUCGGUUUCAGCUCUGGGCAGAAACAGAGUUGGGGGAGGGACAGAGACAGAAAAGACAGAAGCAACCCACAUACAGGGACAGAGACAGAAUCAGUUUGUCCUGAACAUUUUAGGUUCGGGGUAUAUAAUGAAGCUGGGGUCCAGACCUAGUCCUAAAAUAAGAGAACACACACACACACACACACACACACACACACACACACACACACACACACGUUACUUUCCAUCACCAUCGUCGGGGUGCUUUGUCGGCUUAUAGUUUUCAAAACCUACUUGAGCAAGUGAACUUAGAUGCUUUAACCUCCCUUAUUACCCACCACCUACCAGAGGUAGUGGGAAGGAAAGGUUAAUAGGGCAAAGGUUAAUAGGACAGGAUUCCACCUGUCUCGACUUAGUUCUCUGGGGGGUGAAUCCAAUCUGAGUUGUCCAGAUAUCAGCAGUUCAGGUCACAGAAUCAGCAUCGGCAUCAGCAGCUCUCUCCACUCACAAACGCCACUCAUAAAUCAGCAAGGGCAGUUCAAUCUAGAAGAAACCUCAAAGCUGCCAAUAGGUCUGGGGAAGCAGCAAGAAGCCGCCAGCACACCACCAGAAGUUCUUUGGCAGCUUCCAGAAAAACACAGCAUGUCUGCUCUCAGCAAAACAUCCUCUCAGAAGACAAUUUCCAGGAAUACAUCACAUGACACAACUGGGUCUCCAAAGAAGCCAGAAAUUUCCACUUCAGUGUUUCAAUAAAAGUGAGGCACCACUGAUGUUGGGGACCAUUGGCUGUAUGGUGUCCUGAACAUGUCAGGCUAGUACAAAGAUGAGCUGGUCGUGUAGUCACAGUAGGAAGGACCUCUGACCUGUUUGACACUCGGGGAUUGGAGGGCCAUGUAGAAAUUGCUGUGUCAAAGAAUGGUCAUGAGCCCGAGUGAAGCCUUCAGAGGACACCACCUUCUGAAUCAGGUAAAGACCGGGCUCCGAGAGGCUCUGACCUCCAUCCCACAGCCCUGGUUUUUUCCAGUACCCAUUGUCACUUUCUGCUGAGCGAUUGGAAGGCCUGGUCUAGAAGGUCUUCUCCUAGCCUGACCCUUGGACUGAACCAUCAGCCCAGCGUCGAGGCCUCAGCCUGACUGGCAAGAGCAGCCCUGGGUGAAGUGCAGUGGGCAAACAGGGAGCUCACAGAACCAAACAAGCUUCCGUCCAAGCCUCCGUGAGUCUUAGGUCAACUCAGAACCGAGUCAUGGUCAUGACUCAACAAAACCCACUUUGGAAUCUGGACGUUCAAGAGAGGAGCUUCCAGCACCUUAUAAAUAUUAAUUAAAAGACUGCAUCCUGAAGGGCUGGGGUAAUUACAAAAGAGCUUCCCCGGGCCCGCUCCAGUGGCUUCAGAGAGUUCUACUUGGGCCAGUGGUAACAAUAGCAAGGUGCCGUCUGAAGAGCAGCAGCGCAGAAGGCUGGGCGGGCUCCGGGUGCUCCCUCUGCUAGGUGACACGUGGGACAGUCAACAGUCAUCUUCUGCACUUUUCAGAUGGGAUUCUAAGAUCCAGAGCUCUUCUCUGGGCUGGAAACCAAUAGAACACGGACUCCAAUCCAGAUGCUUGGAAUACUACUGACCCAUGCCAUCGCCACAUAAUUACGGUUUAUAACCACGUACUUCUUUAUGGUUUGCCGAGCAUUUAAGCAUGUGCCCUCGACUUGCUCAUCGCCAUCCCUGGCCUAGCAGGAAGCAACGCUUCUACAUUAUAGAGGAGGGCCUAAGGAAGAGCGCACGCGGCUCGCUCAAGUCCUUGUGCAAGCCAGAGUAGCUCACAUCCGUACGGUGGUUUGUGGUUUAUGGCAUGUCUUCUGAUAUUGAGUAUCUCGAUGGCUGUGUGAGCUAAGAAGGCCUGCUGUUAUUAUUAUUAUUUUUUUUUAAUUUCCAUUGUUGUUCCUAGUUCUCCUCUUACAGGUGAGGACUGUAAGAAACAGACUGUUAAGAAAAUAGAGUCAGGAACCGUGACUGUGAGGCAGCUAAGCACUGUAUAGGUAGCCAAUGACAAAGCUUGUUCAUUCAUUCAUUCAUUCAUUCAUUCAUUCAUCCAGUAACUCGUGCACUCAUUCAAUAGAUGUUUGCAGAAUACUCACUGUGGGCCUGCGACUUCCCUGAGCACAGGGAAUAUAGCAUCGGGCAAACAGAUCUUUGCUUCUUAUCAAAUACAUAUUCUUCUUGUGUGAAUGGACCCCCACCCCCCAAUAAACAAGAAAGCAUGUGACCUUGUAUUGCCCUGUAAUGUUUCAGUCAGUGAUGGACUGUAUCUGCCCCAUACGAUUAUACUGGCCAGCGAUAUCUUAGCUUGCACGUAUUCUUUACGAUGCUUGCCCAAAGAGAGAUUUGCUGACAGGGAUGGCAGUGUAGCUCCGGGAUAGGAUUUGUCUAGCGUGCGCAAGACUCUGGAUUCUAUUCCGAGUGGAGCCAAAAAAAGAAAAGUCGUCCAACACGUUUCUCACAAUGCAUUCCCAUCUUUAAGCUUUAUGACCGUGUGCUGUGCCAGAUAUAUAAAAAAAAAAAAAAAAAAAAAGAAUAAUAAACCCGGCAAGGCGAUAGAGAGGUGAGAGGUGUCGGUUUGAAUGUAAGGGGCAGCCCUAUUGUCCUGUUGUCAUCAUAAGGAGGAGUGAUUGUAGAAUAAAGUCAACCAAGAGGGGUUACUUUGGGUCUUGAAGGUCAAGUAGACCUUGGUGGCAAGCCACACAGAAUGACGAGCGUGACACAUUUCCGGUGACAAGGUCCUGCUGUGUCUUGACAGUUCAGAUGCACCCAGAACUUUUAAGUGGGGCUUCUUCCCUAAGACCAUGAGACACAGGAGUUGGGGACAUUGAAGCCAGAAGUUGCCUGACCAGUUCACCAUCUUGAACUGUUGACGGUUUAGAGUGUGAAUGUGCCACUGCGUUCCUGGUCUGACUUCAAACAGAGGUGCUCUGCGUGGAGCUCUGCGGGGAGGGCAGGAGGCUGCCAGAUGAGACGUCUGACAGGAGUGUGGCCUGGAUUUCCUUCUCACAGUUGACAAAGGAGGACAAGUGGCCGACACGUUUCUCAGGACACACUCUUGUCAUUAAGCUGCAUCCAGUCAAAAGAUUUCAUAAAAUGCGAUUUAACCACAAUACCUGUUUUCUUGGCCCUGCUUCCCACCACGCUCCUCCCUCUGAUUCAAACGAUCAUUUAUUUUUAAUUCUUCAAGUUAGCAUUCCAAGGAUUAGAGGACACUUUGGCAUUGCACACAACGUGUGUUUUGGUAGACCUUUUCUCUUCCCUUCCCUUCCUAGCCCUCACAUUUACUGAUCCAUCCACCCGUCCAUACAGCCACACAUUUCUUUUCUUCUUUCCUUCCUUCUUUCCUUCCUUCCUCCUUCCUUUUCUUUCUUUCUUUUUUCCUUUCUUUCUUAUUUCUUUCUUCUUUUCUUUCUCUCUCUCUCUCUCCUCCCUCCCCCUCCCCCUUCUUCCCUCUUUCUUCCUUCCUUCCUUCCUGCCUGCCUGCCUGCCUGUCUGCCUGCCUUCUUUUCUUCCUUCCUUCCUUCUUUCUUUAAGUCUUAGGCCUUGAUUUGGGAGUAGUAUGUCUUAAAUGUUAUCUGGUAUUAUCUGGACACAUCCGAUGGCAGUCCACAGUCUGGCAGCUAAUCAUUCAUAGGUGGAGACUUUCAGGUGUUUUGGGGGCAUCUAGUAGAAAAAGAUUUUUAAAAUUUUCAGUUGUUUUAGGGUUUCAAAUGGUGUUGCAUGCUUAUUUCUGACUAGACAUCAUUCCUAGACUGGCUAAGUUUUUAGUGAUUGAUUAUUUGAUUUGGGUCUGCUUACCUCAGGCUAUCCCUGCACUAAAGGGUUCCCAGCAAAGCUUGGGUGUUGUCGGAUAGUCUGCCAUCCACCCUGAUAGUCACAGGACUGCUUGAAUUGUUAGUUGUGAGCCUUGGUAACUCGUGGUUUAAUUUGGGUUUUGUUAAAGAGGAGAUUUAACCCAUGCCAGAGCCACGUGAGGCUACAACACUUGUUUCAUCGCCCACAGGGGUGGGAGCUAGUCAACACUGGUGGGUUGUUCUCCUAUGACAGGUGCCCUAAGCUUCUGCAAUCCCACCCAGGCCUGCUUUUUUGUCCUGUUUUGAGGUCUUCCUUGUCCACGGUGAUAAAUUAUUACCGUCUUCCUGGUCACGCUUGGCUUUGCUGCAAAGAUCCCCCUCUUAAGGACCGUUACUACUUUCUGGGUCCUCAUGUGGUCCCAGGUGUGUGGAUCACACAUCGUUAAUGAUGUCAGUCAUAACAGUGCUAGCCCAUUUAUAUUUCAGUACUUUAAUUGCUAGCUGUUUGUCCUUCUGUCUGUCCUGAUCAAUUUGUGACAGUCUCUGUACGGUUCUGCAGAUGCCUCUUUCUUGGGUGCUUUGUUCGUUAAUGGACUUAUAUUAGCUAGGACUGCUAGGAUUAUCCUUUUAGCUCCUGGUCUGUAGAACUACAUGGAUCUGCCGGACAAGCCUGUGUGCCCCAAAUGUUUGCACUUCUGUGUCCUUUCCCUUUCCCUGCCGGCUCCUGCCAAUCUCCUCCUUUUUCUUUCUAAAAGCCUGAUUUUUAUUCAUUUUAUAUAACGAGUGUGCACUACCGGAGUGUGCCUGAGGUUUUUGAGUGGUUUAUGUAAGCUACCCUGUGCGGCUGGGAAUCAGACCCGGGUCCUCUGCAAGGUCAAUACGGAUCCCCUAACCACUGAGCCAUCUCACCAGCUGACUUCUUCAACCUUCGGGAUGAACAUCACCUUCUGGGUUGGAGGUUUUCUGUCAUGCUGUACCCUUUCUCUCCCAGACUUGCUCUCUUUUGUCACCUUGCUUUCCUCUAUUCAAAGCCCUUCCAUCAUCCAAAAGAUGAUAUUUUGUGGAUGCCCUUGUUUUCCACAAACAAGGUCUUCCAGUUAGGAGGUAAAAGUCUCAACAAAAAGUCCUUCAUGUUGACACAACUGGUCAUAGCAAGUUGUCCAUAAGGACUGUUGGAGAGAGGGUUAGCAGAUCAGCAGCCCUUGUAUCUCUCAUAUCCUUCUGUCUCUCCUCUCUCCCCUCUCUCCAUCCCUCAUCCUCAGAGCCAGAGACUGACUGAAGAGGAUAGUUUUGCCAACAACGGAACACUUAAGAUUUUAAAUAUCUAUUUUGGGGUCGUGGGGCCUGCCAGGCACACGUGUGGAGCUCUCAGGACAACCUGCUAAAGUAGGUUCUUUCCUUUCUCCGUACAGCUCUUGGGAAUGGAAUUCAAGUGAUCAGCCUUGGUGUCUUUACCACGACGCCAUCUUGGCAACCUUUUUUUUUUUUUUUUUUUUUUUUUGGUUCUUUUUUUCGGAGCUGGGGACCGAACCCAGGGCCUUGCGCUUCCUAGGUAAGCGCUCUACCACUGAGCUAAAUCCCUAGCCCCCCCUUGGCAACCUUUUACAAGGCUUUGUGCAAUUUGUCCGUGCCGAGGACAAAACCAAGAGCCUUGUGCACACGAGACGUGUUGCCCCACUGAGUCACAUCCAGGCUCCUUUGUGAAAGUGUCCUUGCAGCCAACUGUGGUUUCCUCUUAUCUGUCUUCCUGUGGAUCCCUGGGAGAACGUCUUACUUUUCUAACCCUGUCACCCCUUGCACAUGCCCUGGGAUAAAUGAUGCUUAUUUCCUAGAACUGCUGUGAGAGACAGGGCAGGCUCAAAAGGGUUACCGUUAGCCUCUUGGAACAUAGUAAGUGCUAGAUCAAACCGACCAGCCUUCAUGGUUCCCUGCCCAGCGCCACCCCCACCCUCUUCCCCCUCUAAGUGGGAGCUAGAAGAAAGCACGCCAAUCACAAGAUAAUUUAUGCAGCAUAUGCCUUUAUUACCCCAUGCUGGGCUGGGGCUCCUACUGUCCAAUGAAGGUCAAAAGGAGGGAUGGCUUUUAUCUCCUCAGCAGCUCUGGAGAGACAGCAGGAGGGGCCGGAGCUCACCAAAGCUUCCUCUAGAAAACAAACAAGAGUCUGCAUCGCAGCUCAAUAGCUCUCCUCAUUCGAAGCUAUAAAUGGCCCAGAGCAGCAGGGCUUUUGCCCUGCGACUGGAGGGAGCGAAUGCACCAUUGAAUGGAGAGGGUGACCCCUAACUGGCAGAGGGGUUCCCGCUGGGCACAGGCCAGGCCCGCUGCCUAGCAGAGAAUCCAGAGGCCACGUGUCAUUAGUCAGUGUCUUACAGCAAUCUUUUCAAAGCUAUUGAUAAAGGGGGAAGAGGAAGGAGGCUUUUCUGUUUCUAAUCCCCCCAAUUUUCUUCUCUCUUUCUUCUAUUUUCCUGCCUGUCACAACUGUCAGCUCGCGCUCUCUCUCUCUCUCUCUCUCUCUCUCUCUCUCUCUCUCUCUCUCCCUCCCUCCCUCCCU
This is a non-coding RNA of Rattus norvegicus (Norway rat), 9288 nucleotides long. The record is from RefSeq and is a predicted model, not a curated record. NCBI's taxonomy places the organism in Eukaryota, Metazoa, Chordata, Mammalia, Rodentia, Muridae.